RNAcentral lists this transfer RNA (65 nucleotides) under Aradacanthia heissi. RNAcentral describes it as "tRNA-Met". Lineage: Eukaryota; Metazoa; Arthropoda; Insecta; Hemiptera; Aradidae. The record is from RNAcentral.
AGAAAGAUAAGCUAAUUUUAAGCUUUUAGGUUCAUACCCUAAAUAUAGGUUUAACCUUCUCUCUA